CCUGAAAGGAGACAGCAGGCUGUUGCUGAGGUGAGCUUGCCUGUUUUCCCCUGAGGAACACAUGUGCUUUCUUAGAUAUUUCCAAUCACUUCUGUUGUAAAUGUGACAAUGUACGUUUUAGAUGAUAUGGUUACUACCCUGGUGGGGAGACUGGUGAGUGGCUGCCUCUUGCCAGCUGUCACCUUGGUCAGGGGGACAUUUCCCACGGGCAGUGCCAAACCUGGUAAGAAACAGUGUCAAAGGAUCUUUUUCCUCAGCAGCAAUUUUUCCUGCUUGGUGAAGAAAUUUGUAGUCGCCACCCCAGUGGUCUUGGAAGACACAUCUCCAGGAAAAACAACUUCUCACAGGCAUCCUAUUCAUUUGCUUUCGGGGACCUUUGACUCAACCACUGUGUCCCAUCUUCUAUCCUUGAGUCACCAAGAGAACUGAAGAGUGGUGCAAAUAACGUAUAUCAUGAUCUCACCCCGAUGGUGUUUUCUUUCCUAACAUUCAGGUUGCCGCAGGAGUACAGGAGACAGGUAUGUAUC
RNAcentral lists this long non-coding RNA (527 nucleotides) under Lynx pardinus (Iberian lynx). Lineage: Eukaryota; Metazoa; Chordata; Mammalia; Carnivora; Felidae. The record is from RNAcentral.